Molecule: ribosomal RNA, 501 nt
Filed under: uncultured bacterium
Lineage: Bacteria
Description: partial 16S ribosomal RNA
Rfam family: Bacterial small subunit ribosomal RNA
Source: RNAcentral
AUUGAACGCUGGCGGCAUGCCUUACACAUGCAAGUCGAACGGCAGCACGGGUGCUUGCACCUGGUGGCGAGUGGCGAACGGGUGAGUAAUAUAUCGGAACGUACCUUAUUGUGGGGGAUAACGCAGCGAAAGCUGUGCUAAUACCGCAUAAUCCCUUAGGGGGAAAGCGGGGGACCGUAAGGCCUCGCGCAAUUAGAGCGGCCGAUACCUGAUUAGCUAGUUGGUGGGGUAAAGGCUCACCAAGGCGACGAUCAGUAGCUGGUCUGAGAGGACGAUCAGCCACACGGGGACUGAGACACGGCCCAGACUCCUACGGGAGGCAGCAGUGGGGAAUUUUGGACAAUGGGGGCAACCCUGAUCCAGCAAUGCCGCGUGAGUGAAGAAGGCCUUCGGGUUGUAAAGCUCUUUUGUCAGGGAAGAAACAGCAGCUCUAACACAGUAUGCGAAUGACGGUACCUGAAGAAUAAGCACCGGCUAACUACGUGCCAGCCGCCGCCGUAA